Molecule: ribosomal RNA, 658 nt
Filed under: Trichoderma reesei
Lineage: Eukaryota; Fungi; Ascomycota; Sordariomycetes; Hypocreales; Hypocreaceae
Description: eukaryotic LSU rRNA
Rfam family: 5.8S ribosomal RNA (bases 276-429)
Source: RNAcentral
GGAAGUAAAAGUCGUAACAAGGUCUCCGUUGGUGAACCAGCGGAGGGAUCAUUACCGAGUUUACAACUCCCAAACCCCAAUGUGAACGUUACCAAUCUGUUGCCUCGGCGGGAUUCUCUGCCCCGGGCGCGUCGCAGCCCCGGAUCCCAUGGCGCCCGCCGGAGGACCAACUCAAACUCUUUUUUCUCUCCGUCGCGGCUUCCGUCGCGGCUCUGUUUUACCUUUGCUCUGAGCCUUUCUCGGCGACCCUAGCGGGCGUCUCGAAAAUGAAUCAAAACUUUCAACAACGGAUCUCUUGGUUCUGGCAUCGAUGAAGAACGCAGCGAAAUGCGAUAAGUAAUGUGAAUUGCAGAAUUCAGUGAAUCAUCGAAUCUUUGAACGCACAUUGCGCCCGCCAGUAUUCUGGCGGGCAUGCCUGUCCGAGCGUCAUUUCAACCCUCGAACCCCUCCGGGGGGUCGGCGUUGGGGAUCGGCCCCUCACCGGGCCGCCCCCGAAAUACAGUGGCGGUCUCGCCGCAGCCUCUCCUGCGCAGUAGUUUGCACACUCGCACCGGGAGCGCGGCGCGGCCACAGCCGUAAAACACCCCAAACUCUGAAAUGUUGACCUCGGAUCAGGUAGGAAUACCCGCUGAACUUAAGCAUAUCAAUAAGCGGAGGA